This is a non-coding RNA of Podospora aff. communis PSN243, 72 nucleotides long. NCBI's taxonomy places the organism in Eukaryota, Fungi, Ascomycota, Sordariomycetes, Sordariales, Podosporaceae. The record is from the annotation of a GenBank genome assembly.
UGUUGGCGCAGCAGUUAGUUGCUCGCCACUACCGACGGCGAGUUGCAGGUUCAAUUCCUGUAACAGGCACAA